Molecule: non-coding RNA, 85 nt
Organism: Megalops atlanticus (tarpon)
Lineage: Eukaryota; Metazoa; Chordata; Actinopteri; Elopiformes; Megalopidae
Source: the annotation of a GenBank genome assembly
CCCAAAGUGGCUCAGUUGGUAAGAGCACUUGUUUCAAGUGCAGGCUGCAGGCCCCUGCAGCCCGGGUUCAAUCCCAGCUGUGUCA